Molecule: unclassified non-coding RNA, 501 nt
Filed under: Hevea brasiliensis (rubber tree)
Lineage: Eukaryota; Viridiplantae; Streptophyta; Magnoliopsida; Malpighiales; Euphorbiaceae
Source: RNAcentral
AGAUUGAUGUAUUGAAUCCCCAGGUAUGCUAUUUAAUUCUUUAUCUUUAAAUUUUGGCAGUGGAGAAAGAAUGGGGAUUAGGGGGGAUUUUGAGUUGUUAGCUUAGGCCUGAAAUGUCUCGAAUCUGCUUUAUUAGUGUUGUGCAGCAUUUCAAACAAUGCUUGUUUCCUUCUUCCAUGUAGGCUUUUGGCAAUAAUCACUUACUAGUACUGCAGACAAAUUUUCUACUAAGAUAACUACGUGCUUCUUCUGAAAAUGAAUUGUCAAUCUACUUGCUGAUCAUUUUGUCUAGCUUGCUUUCUUGAUCUUGGAGUGUCAAAGACCUUGCCAUUUUAUGACAGCAGAUGAAAUAGAGCGUUGAAUAAUUUCGUUUUCCAUAUAUGGUAGCACCACUUGGAACCUUGGAAAUGUGUCUCCAUAGUAUAUAAGACGUUUAACACAAUGUGUCUUCCUUUUAGUCGUGCUUUGUUGCUAAUUAUCAUGGCCAAUUUUAACUUUCAU